GUGGGCUACGGUGACAUGAGCCCCAUCACCGUGGGAGGAAAGAUUGUGGGCUCCUUGUGUGCCAUCGCCGGCGUGCUCACCAUCGCCCUGCCCGUGCCUGUCAUCGUGUCCAAC
This is a regulatory RNA element of Ophiophagus hannah (king cobra), 114 nucleotides long. It matches the Rfam family "Potassium channel RNA editing signal". Rfam says of the family: This family represents a group of sequences related to the human potassium channel Kv1.1 hairpin element which directs the efficient modification of an adenosine to inosine by an adenosine deaminase acting on RNA (ADAR). The ADAR modification causes an isoleucine/valine recoding event which lies in the ion-conducting pore of the potassium channel. Lineage: Eukaryota; Metazoa; Chordata; Lepidosauria; Squamata; Elapidae. The record is from Rfam.